GAUGAAGAACGUAGCGAAUUGCGAUAAGUAAUGUGAAUUGCAGAUUUUCAGUGAAUCAUCGAAUCUUUGAACGCAUCUUGCGCUCCUUGGUAUUCCGAGGAGCAUGCCUGUUUGAGUGUCAUUUAACUUCUCAACCACAUUUUUCGUGAUGUGGCUUGGAUGGUGGGGGCGGUCCUUUGCAGGCACUUUCUUGUCUGCUCCCCUGAAACACAUUAGCGGUAUCUGAGCUGGCUGCUGUGGGCGUGAUAAAUCUAUCUAUGCCUCUGGUAUGCUGCAUGAACGGAUUGCACUGCUUCCAACAGAUGUGACCUGACGAAUUUGACCUCAAAUCAGGUAGGACUACCCGCUGAACUUAAGCAUAUCAAUAAGCGGAGGA
RNAcentral lists this unclassified non-coding RNA (376 nucleotides) under soil metagenome. Its description in RNAcentral is "partial contains 5.8S ribosomal RNA, internal transcribed spacer 2, and large subunit ribosomal RNA". The stretch from base 1 to 121 matches the Rfam family "5.8S ribosomal RNA", at positions 35 to 154 of the family's 154-position model. The record is from RNAcentral.